UUAAACUCUAUCAAAAAAUGAUUUAGAACAGCGAUGUCAACAGCAGCUUUGUCCAGGAGCAGAGGAGUGGCUGGUGUCAGAACCACUAAAGGCCUGUUCUCCAUCUUCACUCUGCUGUGUCUGGUUUGUCUCUCAAGUUCUGAAGUGGUAACCAAGGACCAACUGGUAAAUAUGAAGCUGUUUGAGUUCUCACAUUUACUUGCAAGUCCACAGUGUGAGUCAUCACAAUGUGUUUUUUUUCUUCAGUUGUAUGUUCUCACAUGUCCUAAUCUAUGACUGCGUCUUGAUUCUCAUUCUGGAUUUGCAGAAAAGGCUCAAGGAAAACAUUGAGAAAGAACAACAACUACUGAACAUGCAGAAGGCAUCAUUGGCCACCUCUUCACAGCUCAUGAAUUAUUAUGUGAACCUCAUGGACCCACUGAAGGGAAUAGUGAAGACAACCUCAGAAGACUCAUCUGAUGUCUUUCCACCACUGGAGGGACUAAUGGACUGCAUCAAGGACUUUGCGGAGAAAGCCAAGACUUUUGUAGAUGGGGAGAAUGAGGAGUUGGGUGAAAAGAUAGAGAAGAAUGAACAGACUCUGAGAAACAUUAGGAAAUUAAUCAAUUUAAUUGAGGAGAAAGAAGCUGAAUUGUAGCUCCCAUGUCAGUCAGCGCCUCUGUCUCUGAUGUUGCAUCUAUUGUACCCACUAAGUUUCUCUUUUUUAUCGUUCAGCUUCAUUUUACGGUUUCAUGAACUCAUGAAUUCCUUUUAUUGUUUGACAUAAGAUAGGAUGUUAAAGAGAGGGAUUCUCUAUUGAAACAGAUAGUGUGGAUAAUGUGUUGAUAUCUUCUUAAUGAAUACUUUAACAAUAAAGAAUUACAUUUUGGAAAGUGUAAAACAAUGUUUCUGAAAAAUGACACAAAAUAAAAUGAUUUAUUAACUGCUGUUUCCAGUUAGCUAAAAAUACUGAGGUAGAUUACAGAAGUAUGUCAUUGUUUUGUUUCCUUUUGCUGGUUUAAUUUCAGUUUCCUUACAUUCACCACAAUACAAACUAUAAUAUCCAGUCUACAUUCUUACAUCUGUGACUUGUAAGGUUAUUGUUUAGAUAUCAUAUAUACAUUCUAGGAAAAGCUGUUAAAAAUACAUUGUAUUGUAUAUCAAAUUCGGCCUGUGUGCAACCCAAAUAAAUUCCAUACAUAGGAAUGCAUACACAAUCC
RNAcentral lists this long non-coding RNA (1199 nucleotides) under Sparus aurata (gilthead seabream). RNAcentral describes it as "lncRNA (ENSSAUG00010012357.1)". Lineage: Eukaryota; Metazoa; Chordata; Actinopteri; Spariformes; Sparidae. The record is from RNAcentral.